UAAACUAGGGAUUAGAUACCCUAUUAUUUUAACUGUAAAAUAUUGACCAAAUUAUUAAUAGAGGUUCUUUAAAUUUAAAGAAUUUGGCGGUAAUUUAUCCUUUCAGAGGGACCUGUCCUAUAAUUGAUAAUCCACAAUAUAUUUUACUAAAUUUUAGCUUAUAUACCUCUGUCAUUGAAUACUCUUUAAAGAGCUUUUCUGAGGGUUUAUUUAAUCAAAAUGUUAGGUCAAGGUUUAGCGAUAUUUUAGUAGUGGUGGGUCACAUUUUUAGUAUAAUAGGAAAAUUAAAUGGAAAUUAUUUUAAAUUUGGAUUUGAUAGUAAAUCCCAUUAUUUUAUGGGGUUGAUAUUGCUCUAGAUUAUGUACACAUCGCCCGGUCGCUCUUA
This 385-nucleotide ribosomal RNA is filed under the name Dicyphus flavoviridis. RNAcentral's name for it is "partial 12S ribosomal RNA". The record is from RNAcentral. Lineage: Eukaryota; Metazoa; Arthropoda; Insecta; Hemiptera; Miridae.